Molecule: long non-coding RNA, 33617 nt
Filed under: Nicotiana benthamiana
Lineage: Eukaryota; Viridiplantae; Streptophyta; Magnoliopsida; Solanales; Solanaceae
Description: long non-coding RNA (NBEN_LNC013391)
Source: RNAcentral
CCAUGACCACCUCCCCGUGUUAGAGCCAUCUCAGCUUUAUGGGUCGCAUUGGUCGCCUCCUGAAAGGAAAUCUCGCUCCUGGCCCCUAUAGCCAUAUGGAGACCGACCAGCUAAGUCAACCUAUCAAUAAACCUCCGCAUCUUCUUUCUCUUGGUGGGGAGUAUAACAAUAGCAUAGCGUGCUAGAUAAAUAAAUGGGUCUCAUAUUGCGUGACUGUCAUAGCACCCUGAUGGAGGCGCUCAAACUGUCUGCAUCGAGCCUCUCGCUCACUAACUGGGAGAAACUUCACAAAAAACACCUCUGCAAACUGGUCCCAAGUUAGUGAUGGUGACCUUGAUUGUCUGGAUAAACAAUCGUCCCUCUACAAAGUCUUGGCGGAUCCUUCUAGUUGAAAGGUGGUGAAGUCGACCCCAUUGGUCUCCACAAUACCCAUAGUCCGGAGAACCUCAUGGCAACUGAAUAAGAAAUCCUGGGGGUCCUCUGUCAAGCACCGUUGAAUGUGGUGGUGAAGAGCUUGGUGAACCUAUCAAGCCUCCACAAAGCAUCUGCGGACAUCGCCACACCAUCACCGGUCUGAGUCGCAAUACGUGGCCGAGCUGGCAUAGCUGGCUGAACAGCUGGAACCUGGGCCUGAGGAGCUACAUGCUCUAGAGUACGUGUAGCGGGAGUCUAGACUCCUCCCCCCAGCCUGAGAAGUGGCUGGUGUACUCUAGCGGGAGUCUAGACUCCUCCCCCAGCCUGAGAAGUGGCUGAUGUUACGAGAAGAAAAUCCACUCUAGUGGUGCUCUCCAUAAGGUCCACCAAUCUGACAAAAGCGUCCUGGAGAAUAGGGGUGGCUAUGAACCCCUUUGGGACCUUAGCUGGGCCUACCAGAUCUUUUGGGGCUGGAACCUCCUCCUCAUAAUCAACAUGAGGCUCCACCUCUGGGAUUGCUGCUCGGGGCUGAGCUCUGCCUCGGCCUCUGGCACAGCCUCGGCCUCGCCCACUACCCCUCUUAGGAGUUGCUGCUAGGGGAUCGGGCUGAUGCACGGUAGAAGAGAAAACACGUGUUCUCGCCAACUGCAAAAGAACAGAGUAAAAAGACAAUCAGUAUUUGAGAAACAGAAUCGCAUAACAAGAAAGAACAAAAGUGAAGUAUUUCCUAACUUUGCAGCCUUUGGGGGAUAAAUACAGACGUCUCUGUACUGAUCCCUCAAACUCUACCAAGUUUGUCUGUGCAUUGUGAGACCAAUGUAACCUAGUGCUCUAAUACCAACUUUUCAUGACCAGGAUUUUUCACCAUCAAAAGUCGUGAUGGCGCCUACUAUUGGAUGUAUGAAUUAUCGCUAGUCGCGCAGUGCCAAACAAUAAGAAUUUGAGUUGAAAUUUUUUUUUUAUAUCUAAGAUGCGAAAAUGUAAACUAACCUAGAAAGCAAGUAAAAUGAUCAAUGACACUAAGAAUUUUUGUUGAAAAUUAUUUUUAUAUAUAAAGUGCGGAAAUGUAAACUAACCUAUAAAGCAAGUAAACUGAUGAAUGGCUACAAGUAUGAAAUCAUCGGGAAUUACACUCAAGUAACGAUCCAAUGUGUUUCACGAUUUUACAAAUAUGAGCGAGUUUAUGUUUAUUAGCCACGGAUAAUAAUUCUUAAUUAGCUUCUUCUGAAGACUAACAAGACUUCCUAAUUGAAUUUUUCCUAAUCACAAUUAGAAUAUUAAGCACACCCGAAAGGCUAUAAGUAGUUCAAUCCUAUCCUUAGGUAGAAUUUAUAAAAUGAGGAUUAACGCCUCAAGUCCUUGUUAAUUCAUCUUUCCCAACCCCAAACUAUUUUUUCCCAAAAUUAGUUCGGAGUUAAUGGGUGAGUCCUAGGGUUAGCUAAUCCCAUUGAAAACAUUAAAGAACAAGAAUAAUUAAAGAACAAUAACUCACUUCAUAUAUAUAGAAAAAUCAUUCAAUACAUAAGCACAACAAGGUAUAUAAUUCACACUUUAAUUAUGAAUAUUCCAUAAACAAGAUUCAAGUGUUGGAUAAAAUACUACACACUUAGAUAUACAAUACAAAGAAAGGAAAUGAAGAAAGAAACAUAAAUAGGUAAGAAAAUCUUAGCCACAAGCUUCAAUCUUCAAGAUACAUAUGGCUUCUCAAGGACUGACAUUGUCACAAUCUCAUUAUAUUAAGAUAGUACUUGAAAAAUUCAAGCACUUGGGAUUUAAAGUUUCAAAGACUCCAAUUUAUGUGAAUCUUGCAUUAGCAAAGAACAAAAGCCAGAGCAUAUCACAAUCGGAUUAUUCUCGUGUGCUGGGUUGCUUAAUAUACAUCAUGAAUUUGCAAAGAAUAAAGGCCAAAGCAUAUCACAAUUGGAUUAUGCUCGUGUGUUGGGAUACUUAAUGUACAUUAUGGAUUGUACACGACAAGAUAUAGCGUGUGCUAUAAGUAAAUUGUGUCGAUAUACGAGCAAUCCAGGUCAAUCUCAUUGGAUGGCCAUGAAACGAGUUUUGAGGUAUUUAGUACAUACCCAUGACUUUGCUUUGCACUAUAGUAAAUAUCUUGCAGUCAUUGAGGGAUACUAUGAUGCAAAUUGGAUCACCGGAUCAACUGAUUCUAAGUCCACAAGUGGAUAUAUAUUCACUAUUGGUGGAAGAGCGGUAUCUUGAAAGUCGUCCAAAGAAACUUGUAUUGCCCGCUCUACAAUAGGCUAAGUUCAUAGCCUUGGAUAAAGCCGGUGAAGAAGCUGAAUGGCUCCAUAAUUUCUUAGAAGAUAUUUCAUUUUGGCACAAACCGUCUGGAUAUAUGUUCACUAUUGUGGAGGAGCGGUAUAUGGGAAGUCGUCCAAACAAACUUGUAUUGCCCGCUCUACAAUAGAGGCUGAGUUCAUAGCCUUGGAUAAAGCGGGUGAAGAACCUGAAUGGCUUAGGAAUUUCUUAGAAGAUAUUCCAUUUUGGCCCAAAUAGUUCGCACCAAUAUGCAUACAUUUUGAUAGUCAAGAGGCAAUUGGAAGGGCUGGGAGCGUUAUGUAUAACGGUAAAUCUCGACAUAUACGACGAAGACAUAAAAUCUUUAGGAAUUACUCUCUAGAGGAAUGAUCACGAUUGACUAUGUAAAGUCAAGUGCUAAUGUGUCGGAUCCACUUACAAAAGGCCUAAGUAGAGAGGUAGUUGAGAAGUCAUCCAGGGGAAUGAGACUGUGGGAAUUAUCGCGAUUGACUAUGUAAAGUUAAGUGAUAAUGUGUCGGAUCCACUUUCAAAAGGCCUAACUAGAGAGGUAGUUGAGAAGUCACCAAGGGGAAUGGGAUUGUGGAUGAGAACAAGUCAUAGUGGCGGUAACUCUACCUAGAAGACUGGAGAUACCAAGAUCUAAGUUCAAGGAUAUUUAUGCUCUGGUAGUUUUGCAGAAACAACCAUUUUGAACAGUUUCACCUCUUUAGAUUCCAGCCCAAAUUUGGCUAUAAAUACAACACUAUUCUGCUCAAAAUUUCACUACGAAUUUCUGAGGUUUUUCUCCUUCUUUUGCAUACUUUUAGCAUACAAACAAAGCAAAAAGUAAGUGUGAUAUGCUACUGAUCUUUGUGUUCACUGAAACACUGGCGUUUGAAGUAAUACUACAGCAGUGUAUAAUUCGUUCUAUCCUGAGAGGAAAUAAACCAUAACCUUGGGUGCUAGAAGGGGAUUAAAUUCCUUAAGGAGACAUUGUGAAUUCAGUGGGCUCGAAUUGUUUCUGAUCAUUUUGUUUUAUGUCAUUUCUGUUUAUCAUAAUUUCUGUUUAUAUUAAUUUAUAUUUUCAGAAUUAUUUUACAAAUAUAGUUUACUAACAAUAAUGCUAGUAUAUAUUUAGAAUUCACGUUCUCAAACAUUUGUAGACAUGCUCAAGUGAAACAAACUUUAACUUUCAAAUGAGCGUUAUCCUAUCUGUGCUAACCUAGUUAAGCAUAAGUAGAAUAAAAAAACACUCGAUCAUACCCAUUACUGCCAAAAUAUAGGUUAUUACCUUUUUUAGUGACUUCAAAUAACAUGUCGCAGUAGAAUCUCGGACACCCUCAUGACACGACAAAUAUAAUCGGCAAGCUUAAGGUGAUAUUGGAAUAGCUGCAAGCAGGGGCGGAUCCAGCCUUUUGGUACUAAGUUCAUCUUAACCCAAUCUUUCUAUACGAAGCAUAUAUUUAUAUGUUAAAAUUCAUUAAAAUUGCAACAUAGUUGAUAUGAAAUCGUAAUUUUAAAAAUACAUAUAACAAAUUCAAUGCUGAACCUUUAAAGCUUCUUCUCAACCCAAUAGCUUCUUGGAUGACAUCCUUGCUGGGUUGGAAUUGAUUUAUAAAUCAUAAUACUCCCGUCCUAAAAGGAAUCUUGUCCUCAACGUUCUACUAGAGCAACAAUGCUAUUAUAAGGGAGAAGCUUUGAAGACCCAAUUGUGUGUCAGGUAGAAAGAUAUAACAAAUUACCUUGACAUAAGUUGUAAAUCACUUCAAUAACAAACUUUCCUUUUGGUAACAUAAUAUAUUACAUGAGCCCCUUCAGUGCGGUCAUAAUCUUGUUUUUCUCCAACAUAAUAUAUUCCUUCCUUAGUGUGUCACUUGAUGCUCGUGGUUACUCCACAUCCCCUGCGGUUCACCAGCCUUGCCAUGCUACUUAGCACCCAUAUCAAAAUUCUUUGGUGCAAAUACAAAAGUAGCCAAUACGCAUUUUAAAUGGAGUGUCAUGUCACUAUAAUACCUUGCUCCAAGCCUUUCUAAAAGGAGUUCUGAUUCUUCAUGCAAUUCGCACAACAAAACUGUAUAGAAAUUCAUCAUUGACUUCAAGCUGUAUAAUCAGUGUACUUAUUCCUCAAUUUCUAUUAUUAUAGUAUUGUCACGGCCCUAGUUCAUCAAGUGUGAACAUAUCAUGACGGCAUCUAGUCUUCACGAGUAGGUAAGCCUAACACAUUGCGCAAGUAACAAUAUUUAUGAAAUUUAUUAUCCAAAAGCGAAAUAACAUGAAUAAUGUAUAUUGUUGCCGCGUGGAACAUACACUUUAACACUUGACAUUAUGAAACUAUCCCAAAGACCGGGAAACCCACGGGCAACACAGGCUAAGAGUAAUACAGAAUACUGCUCUAAUCAUCCGAAAAAUUCUAUAACAAGGAAGAACAUAAUAGCAUCUAACUAACUAAAGGGAUAGAGUGACAGGGAGACUUUCCGGUCUGCAGACGUGGCAGAUAUACCUCAAUCUCCAAAAUGCUCCCUGCAACUACUGAUAAUGCGCCUGCGUAAAGGUACCUGGAUAUGCACAUGAAAAACAUGCGCAGAAAAGGCGUGAGUACACCACAACGGUACUCAGUAAGUGUCAAGCCUAACUUUGAUCGGGUAAUGACGAGGAAAGGUCGAGGCCCUACUGAGAUAAAAAUAUAAUAAUCAAUAGAAUAAGGAAAGAUCAUAUGGGAAUAACCUACUGCAAAGUGUUCCUAUAUGGCUUGGAGGUGUCGAAGAAGAUCUGAUGGAUGAUAGAUGAUCCAUUAAGUGUUUGAUUUCCAUUGUGAUUGGAUGGUUGCCCCGAAUUAUGGGUGCGUGAAGAAUCUUUUUAGGUCUCCUAGUUGGGGUGAAGUAAAUAGCGUGUUUUGGUUGAGUUCAGACUCAAAAAGACUAGUAGACUAUGCAAGGUGUAUAACGGUGGAAGGAUUAUGAAAAUAUUAUGUUGAGGCGAAGCAGGUGGGCUAUCUCCUGCGGAGUGUUCUAGCAUGGUAUGGUCGUUGUAUGCAUGUUAGAAAAUCUGUGUUUCAUAACUUAUAAAUGAUUGGGACAUAUUCUCACUAUGUAAUUGCGACAACAAUGGACUAAAAGUGUUAUGAGCUAUUGAAAUAUUUUGGUCUAUGUCUUCGAGCCAAGUUGGGGAGGUUUCCGUUAAUUAGCUAACUGCACGAUCAUGUGCUAUGCUGGUUCCAUUUCGAGAUAUGCUGGCGGAGCAGUUCUGGUUGCAAAAAUUUAGCCGAGGAUGGCAUGAGUGAAGCAAAAUUUUGACAAAGGUGAUAGGGUACUCUGUGUAAUUGGAGGCGGAAGUCCUCAUAUUCGGCUAUUGUGAUGGGGGAUCGUGUGUAUCGGAACCGUUUGGUGACUAUUGGGAUUUGGAGGCUAGAGCCAAUCUUUUGUUGCUAGCAUGCUAGAUUUUUGGAUGUUAUGUUGGAGUUUAUACCGGUUGUCUCACUGUUAGAUUAAUUAUGGACUAUUUUAUUAUGGGCUAUGCUGGAAAUGCCACUGUUUGAGUGGCGAGGUACAUUAGGUUCUGUUAUGGUGGAGCGGUUUAUCUUUCAAAGACCCAGCAGACAGCUGGGAGGGAUUGCUUUUCCUAUUGAACCUUAAUGAUGUAUGUCAGUGUAGAGGUUGCAAUUGUUGAUCCAGUUACGGCAUUAAGGGACUUUUCGGAUGCGUGUUCCAGUUUGGGUCGACUCCGUUAGCUCCGAAUUGUAUUGUCGAGGGAUAGGUUGACUCGACCAUUGUUGAGUGACCUUUGGAGCUUUUGACGAGAUUUUUAAGAGGUUUUUGACUGGGAAUCGAUUGGAGGUAAGUCCUAUGUCCUAGAAACAUCAUCUAAUUGUGAUUUCAACACCUAAAUUCAUGGAAUUUGAUUAAAAAGGGAAGAAGUAGGACUUGGGUUUUUUAUAUCCCAACACCUAAAUUCAUGGAAUUUAGAUUGAUGUCGAGGAAGAUGACGGGAGAUUGCAGGGGAUCCAAAAGGUAUAAGGAGGGGAAAAUAAAUGAGGUUUCAGUUCUUGAGAUGAAAAGACCAAAUACCAAUUUUGACUGGGAAUCGAUUGGAGGUAAGUCCUAUGUCCUAGAAACAUCAUCUAAUUGUGAUUUCAACACCUAAAUUCAUGGAAUUUGAUUAAAAAGGGAAGAAGUAGGACUUGGGUUUUUUAUAUCCCAAACUGGGAUUUGAUAGGUCAUUUGAGCUCGGAUUUGGGAGUUCUUGGUAUGUAUGGACUCGUGGAAACGACAUCGUUCCUUAGUGAUUUUUGCACCGGUUCGAGGUAAGUGGUUUGUCUAACCUUUUGUGGGGGACCUCUCCCCUUCGGAUCUAUUAUUUGUUAUUUUAAAUUCCAAGUAACUGCGGCGUUCAAUCCGAUCCAUUUAAUGUCGACGGCGCGCACUGGGGUGUGUACAGACUCAGGAGGGGCUCCUACAGCACAAGCGCAAUAUUAGCCAGGUAUUGGCAUAAAACAGGUUCUUGGCCUCAAUAUCAAUAUAUACCAUCGCUACAGCAUGUAGCCCGAGCCAUAUAUUCAGAAAUCACUAUAACAAUGCUGAGUGCGCAGCCCGGUCCAUGUUCAGUCCAGAAAUGCACAUAAAACACUUGGAAAAUAUUAACAUGAUAAUCUUCAGUUCAAAUGUCAAUAAAAUAUUGUUUAAGUUUUCAAAUCUGAGAAAAAUGGCUGAAUUUGCAAAACAAUAUUAAAACUUUGGACCAAGAUCAAAUAAUAUGCAAGUAAUGCAAAAACAGUAAUAUCAAUCCUCGAAGGGUUCUCAUAGUUGGCACUAAGUCCAAACAUGGCAAUCCACCCAAAUUACGAUGAUAAUAAAUAAUUUCAGUCAAAUACGCGGGAAAAAUCAACCACCGGGACGGACCAAGUCACAAUCCCCAAUGGUGCUCUACCCUACGCUCAUAUACGGCAUGCAAAUCACCUCAAUACAGCACUAUGACGUGCAAAUACGGAGAUUAGAACCCUCAGGAUAUCAUUUACAAGUAUUACUCACUGAGUUGGAGUACUCACUUUACUCCCUCCACCUCGCGUGCAGUUGCAGGUAUGGUUCGCCCGGAAGUGGGUUAUUGGUGGAUUGAAGAUUUUUUGUCGUAGCUGAGCCAGGUGACCGCUAAUGUCCGCGGCAUCGUAUCUUCUCCCUUAUUUUAGGUUAUUCAUGUUAUUUUCGGACUUAGUUCCCAUUUCUAGACUUUUAGCUCUUUAGUGGACUCUGUAGUAGCUCAUGUCUAGUGACACCCCGAUGUUGGGAUGUGACGGGAUGGUUCCUGUUGUUUUUGUGGUUUUUCGCACUUUUGAUUAUGCUAAUCAUGUUUUAGCCUUAUAAAUUUUAAAUAACUGUUAACAAGGAAGAGUUUGUUUUGUUGGCUGGCCUCGUCCUCACGAGAGGUGCCAUCACGACCGGGUUAGGGAUUUGGAUCGUGACAAGUGUGAAUUAUGUAAGUGUACUUCACUUCUUACUUCAAAAUAUAGAUUACACCUAGAAUAUAUACACUAAUCUAGUGACAUAAUUCAAAAAUGUAUCCCUAAGAUCAUGGCUUUUACCCACAAUCUUUGACUAUACAAUGACACACAAUCUAACAUACAUUCUAGUAUUGAAAUACUCUCGGACAAGAUCUAAGUCUUAACAUUCCCCCCUCAAGCAGGAGCAUACAUGUCAUAUGCUCCAAGCUUGCUACAAAUGUAUUCAAUCCGAGCCCUUUUAAGGGACUUAGUAAGAUCAUCUACCAAUUGGUCAUUUAAACAGACGAAGCUAGUGAUAAUGUAUCCAGACUAGAUCUUCUGUCUAAUAAAAUGACAAUCCACCUCAAUACGUUUCGUUCAUUCAUGAAAAACAAGAUUUGAAGCAAUAUGAAGGGAAAAUUUAUUGUCGCAUAUAAGCUCCAUGUGUUUGAACUAAGCACAUUGUAACUUUUGGAAGAGUUGUUUCAACUAAAUAAUCUCGCAUGUAGCAAUGGCCAUAGCUCGAUAUUCUGCUUCCGCCCUAGAUCCGACAACAACAUCUUGCCUUUUGCUUUUCCAAGAAAUCAAAUUUCCAUGAAACAUGAUACAGUACCCAGAAGUAGAGCGUCUAUCUGAUGGAGAACUUGCCCAAUCAGCAUCAGAAUAUCCAACAAUAUUUGUGUGACCUUUGUCUUUAUACAAUAGCCUUGUCCUGGGGCCUUUUUGAUGUAUUUUAGAAUGUGAAUACUGCGUCCCAAUGGUUACAUGGAUCUUGGAGAAACUAACUAACCAUACUUACUCAAAUGAAAUAUAAAGUCGUGUGAUAGUACGAUAAUUCAGCUUGCCGACUAGUCUUUAAUAUCUACCGAGAUCAUUUAAUGGCUCCCUCUGUCCAAGGACGAGUUUGACAUUUGGAUCCAUAUGAGCGUCAAUAGGUCUGCAUUUAACAUGUAUGUUUCCUCAAGUAUGUUUAAAGUAUAUUUUAUUUGUGAGAUAGUUAUACCGAUCUUGGAUUGUGCUACCUCAAUUCCCAAAAAAUACUUUAACUUCCCUAAGUCCUUGGUUUGAAAGUGGCUAAAUAGAUGUUGUUUUAGCUCAUAUAUUCCUUCUUGAUCAUUUCCAGUUAUGGAUAUGUCAUCAACAUAAACAACCAUAUAAAUGUUCUUUUCAGGACCAUUAUGUCGAUAGAAAAUGGAAUGAUCCGCUUCACUUCGAGACCUCCCAAAUCUACCAAACCAUGCUCUCGGAGAUUGCUUAUGGCCAUAUAGUGAAUGUUUCAGAUGGCAUACUAAGUUUAACUCCCCCUGAGUGAAAAAACCGAGGAGGUUGCUCCAUAUAAACUUCCUUAGCAAGCUCACCAUGUAAGAUAUCAUUCUUAUUAUCUAGUUGAUGAGGCGGUUAACGGUUCAUUGUUGCUGAAGAGAUGAGUAAUCGAACAGAUGCAGUCUUGGAAACUGUAGAGAAUGUGUCACCAUAGUCAAGACCAUAAAUCUAGGUAUAUCCAUUAGCAAUAAGGAGAUAUUUAGCCGAUCAAUUGUUCCAUCUUAACCUACCUUUACUGUAUAGAUCCUUCGACAUCCAAUGGUAGAUUUUCCUUCCCGUAACUGUACCAAUUCCCAAGUGUUAUUUUUAUCUAGAGUAGUCAUUUCUUUUAUCAUAGCACCUUUCCACCCUGAAUGUUACAAUGCCGACAAUCUUUGGAAUAGGUUCAUUAGAUAAAUCAAAUACAAAGGUAUAACAUAAUAGGGACAAUCAAUGAUAACUUAAUAAGUUUAGUCAUACUAGGUUUUGAGUGGUGUGUAUGCCUUUGUGUAUGGCAAUUGGUGGAGUUAUUUAAUAUGAUGAAGGCAUGACUGGUGUAGGUGACAUAGGAGCAUGAGAUGAGUCAUCGGGAGCUACCAAUGUAUUCAAAUCAGGGGUAGUGCUAUCAUUAGUAUUAGCUAGAGGACUGGCACGUCUGGAGUAUACUUGGAGAGCAAGAGGAGAGACUUGAGGUAUGUCCUAAUGACUAACUUGCAGCACAAUAAGUAUUGGCACAGCAAAACUUCAGGCAUCUUCGCUGAGAAUAGGGAGAUGUCUUAAAGAAUGUUGCAUCUACAAAGAUCCAAUAUUUAUGUUCUUUUGGAUCAUAAUAUUUAUAACCUAUCUGGUAACAAAAGUAUCCAAGAUAGAUACGCUUAAUUGACUUUGGUUGGACUUUGUCGUUUCUAGAACAGUGACCAUGAACAAAGAAAGAACAUCUAAACACUUUAAAAGAUGAAUGAUAGGGAUUUUGACAUGGCAAGGGAAUUGAGUGAAGACUUUGAUAUAAUAAGAUAGAAAUAAUCAAAUAGCAAGCAGUGAGAACAAUAUCUCCCCAAAAACUAAGAGAAAUGUAAUGGUGCAUAAGUAAAGUACGCGCAGUUUCAAUGAGAUGAUUUUUACGUUCGACGACUCCAUUUUGCUGAGGAGUAUGUGCACAAGAAGUCUGAUGAGUAAUUCCUUGAGAUGACAUGAAACUAGUGAAGGAAGAUAAUAAAUACUCCUUUUCAUUGUCACUAUGUAAUACCUUUAGUGAAACAACAAAUUGAUUGUAUACCUCAACACAAACAUUUUGAAUAAUAGAAAAAAAUUCAUAACAGUUUUUCAUUAAGAAUACCCAUGUGCAGCGGGAGAAAUCAUUAAUAAAGGUAACAAAAUACUGAAAUACUAUACUUGAAACAACACGACUAAGACCCCAAACAUCUGAGUGAACAAUGUCAAACAUAGAUGAAGACCUAUUAUUGACUCUUUUGGGAAAUGAGGUGCAAAUGUGUUUCCCAAGCUGAAAAGACUCACAUUCACAAGACGACAAUGAAGAAAGACUAGGAAUUAAUUUCUUAAGCUUUGCAAGACUCGGGUGGCCUAAACGACUAUGGAGUAGAUUAGUUAAUACAAUGGAAGUAAAGGAAUCUAGUGGUUGUGAUUUGGACAUAUGAUAUAGUGCUUGUAACUCAUAUCAUGUUCCACUCAUCUUUCAUGUUUUCUAGUCAUGUAUAACAACAGAAUUAGCAAAAAAACUAAUAGAACAAUUAAGUUUUUUGUUAAUUUACAAAUGGAAAAAAUCGAAUAGGCAUUCUGGAGAAAAUAAAACCGAGGUUAAAGAGAUAGAGGGAAGAAGUUACACUUCUCCUAUUCCUUUUACUGCAAUUCGUGAGCCAUAAGCGUGGCUAACCGUAGAGACGGUUGAAGAAGGAACGAGGUAUUAGAAAAGAUUUUGAUUACUAAGAGAUAUGGUUAGAUGCACCAGAGUCCAGUAUCCAUGGGCAAUUGGGUAAAGACCCAAUCAGACAAUCAAAGGGAUUACCCGUUUGUGAGGUUUCAAAUGAGAGUGACUAUUGUUUAGCCGCCUGAUAUACAAGUAAUCACUAUAAUCUACCCCAUAUAAAGUAAUAGAAAAAACAUGUCGAUAAUCUGUUUCACCACCAUUUUGAACUAUGUGGGAUGUACUGCGAUUGUUUGUACGUUAUGGUCGACCAUGAAGUUUCCAAUAAGGUUGUCGAUGUGACGACCCAACCCGUUAUCUUACGUGUUUCUAUUCCUUUUCCAGUAUUUUAUGUUUUAUCAUGUUUCAUUAUCGGUAUUUGAUGUGUUAGAGUUAUCUCGGAUUGGUUUUGGAAGAAAAUGAGAUACUUAGUCUCUUUAAGGAAGGUUGGGUUGGAAAAGUCAACUGGAUUUCGACUUAUGAGUUAGAGAACCCAUAUGUGAUUUUCGGUGAUUCGGUUAGCUUGGGGGUGAUUUGUGACAUAGGAGUGCGAUCUAAAGUAUUUUUGGAGGUCAGAUGUAGAAUUAGGCUUGAAUUAGCGAAGUUAGUAUUUUGGUGAUUUUUGGUUGUUAGGUUACUUUUUUAUCCAAGGGUCGAAAUGGAAUUCUAUGAGUUUCAGUAGCUUCGUAACAUGAUUUGGGAUGUGUGUGCAAAAUUUUAGAUGAUUCAUAGGUGUUUUGUUCGGGUUUUUUAUCAAAUUUGUGUUUUAGAAAUUUUACAAGAACUUAGGCUUGAAUCCGAUGUAAUUUGGUUGUUUUGUGUUGUUUGUGGUGUUUUUAUGAUUGGAAAAAGUUCAAAUGAUGAUUUAGGAUGGGUUGUAACUUUUGGUUGCGGUCCUAGGCGCUUUGGGGUAUUUUCGAAUGGCCAACAAGGUGAAUUUUUGACUUGUUGCAUUUCAGAAAUUUAUGGUAUAUGGUAUUUCUUCAUCUGCAGAAAAGGGACCGUAGAUGCAGUUCUGCAGAUGCAGUAAGGUAGGUCGCAGGUGUGGAUUUGACCAGGUUGGAGAAUCUCGCAGAAGCGAAUUUAUUCCGCACAUGCGGUGUCCGCAAGAGCGAAAAAUGACCACAGAAGUGGUCCUGUUUAAUUGUAAAGAAUCCGCAUAAAUGGAGAAAUAUCCGCAUAACCGAUAACCGCAAAUGCGGUAUCUGAGUUACAUAAGCGAAAAUAGGCCUGGGCAGAAGGGUUUUAAAAUAAUAUUUUAUUCUCGAGCUAAGUGUAUUUUUCACUAUUUUUUAAUAACCUUGAGAGCUUUUUGACGAGAAUUAAAGAUGUUUUCGGCUGGGAUUGAUUGAAGAUGAGUCUUAUGACCUAGAAACAUCAUUUAAGUUAAGAAUAAACACUUAAAUUCAUGCAAAAUUGAUUAAAAGGGGAUGAAUUAUGGCUUGACUUUUUGAAUGGAAAAUUUGGAUUUGAGGGAGCAUCUGAGCUCGAAUUUUGGAGUUUUUGAUAUGUGUAGACUCAUGGCGAGAUAAGGAGUCCAUUGAUGAUUUUUGAGUUUUAAGAAGUGGGCACGGGACUCGGGUUUUGCAAAUUUUAUUAAUUUUGAUAUUUUGCGAGUCCUUUCGAUUGGGUUAUGUUCAUUUAGCCUAUUGUAACAUAUUCGUUGUAGUUUUGGUUGGAUUCGACGCGGUAGGAGGUAGAUUCGAGAGGAAAGGGCAUAGCGAGCUAGACUUUUGGCCAGCUAGAGGUGAGUAGUAAUUGUAAAUGAUGUCCUAAGUGUUUGAAACCUCGUAUUGCACAACGUAGUGCUAUGUUGAGAUGAGACACGCGCUCAAUGACGAGCGCGAGGUCAUUUACUAUUGGGGAUUGUGACUUGGUCCAUCCUUGUUGAUACUUUACCGCAUAUUGCCUAUGACUUGUUGUUUUCACCAUGCUUGGGCUUAUUGUCAAAUAUUGGAAAUCCUUUGCAAACUAUCAUCACUAUUUCCUCACUAUUUGAAAUACUACUUGAACUCAAUCCAAUUAAAUUAAAAGUUUCAUGAACUCAGCAAUUCUUACUCAAAUUUGAGAUUUAAAUGAUAUUUAAACUAGUAUUUGAGCUGAGCACUACUGUUUUACUCAUGCCCGGGGGCUAAUGAUUGUUUUUGGACUGGUUGAGACCGAGGGCCAUAUGUGAGGAUAUGUUGAGUGAUGUAGGAAGACUUUCAGGCAUCGAGUGUUAUUUGAGGAGGCUUUCAGGACUCGAGUGAUAUGUGAGGAGGCUUUCAGGCCUCGAGUGUGAUGUGAGAAGGCUUUCAAGCCUUAUGUUUAUAAGAACAUGCUUUUAGGCCUUAUAAUGAUAUAGCGUUUGGGCUGUAGGAGCCCCUUCGGAGUCUGCACACCCACAGUGAGUGCGAGUACCCAUGUGAUUUGAGAGUGAGCCCGAGGAGCUGAUGCUGUACUGAGUGACUGUUACUGAGCCUGCAGGGCUGAUAUUGUACGGAGAGGUUGAUAUUGAGCCAGAGGGGUAGAUUAGGAAUCAUUUCUUACUUGUUGAAAGCAUUUGCCUUUAAUUGUUUUAAAAGAAGAAUUAUUGAUAAUUCACUAUUUUUACUGCUUAACUGAUUUAACUGGUUGAGAUAGCGUUUCCUUGUGAAUUUAUGAGAUUUCAUGCUUUCAAUCAUUAUUUAUUCUUACUACUCACUUGGUUGGAGUACUCACAUUACUCCCUACACCGCGUGUGUAGAUACAGGCAGAGCAGAGUUCGCUCCUGGGCGCUGAUUCCUUCUCAGACUAGGCGGUGACUAGGAGUGAUGAGUUAGUUGUUGACGUCUGUAGCCCUGUUUCUCCCUAAUCUUCCAUUACUUAUGUUAUUUCCAGACUUGUAGUAUUUUAGCAGACUCUGUAGUAGCUCAUGACAUGUAACACCCCGAAUAUGGAUUGUGUCGAGAUGGUUUCCCUAUUUUAUCAUGUUUAUUUCGCACUUUUGAUAAUGUUGUUUAUGUUUUAGACUUAUUCAUGAUAAGUAAGUGUUAAAAGAAGAGUUAUUAUUCUGUUGGCUGGCCUUGUCUUCACGAGAGGCGCCAUCACAACCGGGUUUAGGAAUUGGUCCGUAACAAGUCGGUAUCAGAGCCUAGGUUACAUAGGUCUCACGAGUGAUGAGCAGGUUUAGUAGAGUCCCGCAGAUCGUUAUGGAGUCGUCUGUAUUUAUCCUGGAAAGGCUGCAGAACCUUUAGGAAAAACUUCAUAUUCUUGAAUUCUUGUCGUGUGAUUUUGUUGAUUCGAGAACUAAGCUUUUGUGUUGUAUUCUCUCGCAAAUGGAAAGGACUCGCGCUACUGGACGAGAAGAACAGUAACCAGUACCACCCACCAAUGGAACCAUAAGCUGUGUACGCGGUCGUGGUCGUGGUUGAGGUAGAGAAGCAAGAGCAGCACCUGUUGCUCCACAAGUUUCCCCGGCUCAGGAUCACGCUCCAGCUGCAGACAUUCAAAAAUCACCUGUUUAGGCACUAGCGGUGCUAUUGUGAUUCCGAGCCUUCAGGAGGCCUUGGCUCAGAUAUUAUUAGCUUGCACUAGCCUGGCUCAGACAGUUUCAGCCACUACCGCAGCAACUACUUCUCAGGCUAGGGAAGGCAAUCAGACCCCCGUUGCUCGCACACCUGAGCAGGUAUUGCAUGUAUUACAAACACCGGGAGCACCACCAGCUCAGUCAGUUGCACCAGUUUAGGACUUUGUGGUUCCAGCUAUACCAGACGAUGAGUAGUGUUGUCUUGAGAGGUUCAAUAGGCUCCAGCCUCCUUCGUUCAGUGGUUCUCAGGGCGGGGAUGCCCAGGCUUGUCUCGACAAGUGUAAGAGUAUGCUUCGGACGACAGGGAUUUUGGAUUCGAGUGGUGUAGAAUUUACCGCAUUUUAGUUCACUGGAGCUGCCUUCAAUUGGUGGGAGACGUAUGAGCGGCAAAGGCUGGCAGAUGCAGUGCCUUUGACUUGGAAGGAGUUCUCCACUCUCUUCUAGGAGAAGUGGGUACCGCAGUCUCAGAGAGAGGAGUUGCGUAGACAGUUUGAGUGGCUUGGAAAAGGAGAUAUGACUCUGACCCAGUAUAAGGUUAGGUUUUCUGAGUUGGCUCGUCAUGCCUGCUGGAUAGUUCCGACUGAUUGGAAAAGGAUCAAGAGGUUUAUGGAUGGACAUAAUUAUCACCUUCAUGUUCUGAUGAUUCGAGAGAGAGUUAUGGGUAUUUCCUUUGAGGAUAAAGUUGAUAUUGCUCGCGAUAUUGAGAGGACUUGCCGUCAGAUAGAGAGGAGAGGGAGGACAAGAGGCCUCAAGGUUCUGGUAGUUUUAGUGAUUCUCCGUCUAGGGGCCACUUCCAGCAUGGCAGAGGUCAUUCUUAAAGAUCUCCUAAGUUGGCUCGUCCCGAGUAUCAUUGGGCAUCUACAGACCAUGGUCAUCAAGGGUUUAAGCAAGGCCAGUGCUCAGUCAGCGCCCUUCUAGCUCAGAGUUAUUCGCAUGCCCUCUCUGUUCAGGGUUUUUCCGCGCGAGUGCAUUAACAAGUGACUCUGGUGCGAGGGGUUCCCUUCAGUCCCAUUCUCCAGCACUAGGGAGUUGUUAUGAGUAAGGAGAGUUUGGACACAUGUGGCGGCAGUGUCCUCGUCGUGCUGCCAGUUCAUCACAGCAUAGAGGUUAGCCCUCGUCUUCUGCUCCUGUUUCUUCAGCACCCGCGCAGUCAGCUAGGGGUAGGGGUUAGGCAGCCAGGGGUCGUCCCAAAGGUGGAGGCCGAUUGGGUGGCGGUCAGGCUCAAUUUUAUGCUAUCCCAGACAUGACAGAUGCCCUUGCGUUAGAUGCUAUUAUCACAUAUAUUAUCUUAGUCUGCCACGUAGAUGCCUCUGUCUUAUUUGAUCCUGGUUCCGCCUAUUCUUGUGUUUCUUCAUAUUUUUCUCAUCAUUUGGGUAUGACCCGAGGGUGUCUUGCUUUACAUGUGCACGUAUCUACCCCGGUGGGCGAUACUAUUAUUGUAGACCAUGUGUAUCAGUCUUGUGUUAUGACUAUUAGGGGUCUGGAGACCCGAGUUGAUUUAUUGCUAUUGCACAUGGUGGACUUUGACAUUAUUCUGGGCGUGGAUCGGCUAGCUCCGUGUCAUGCUAUUCUAGGUUGCCAUACUAGCAGAGUCACUUUGGCUAUGUCGGGUGUUCCGAGGAUCGAGUGGCAUGGUGUGACUGAUUAUGUCCAUAGUAGAGUGAUUUCUUUCCUAAAGCCCAACUUAUGGUUGGGAAGGGUUGUUUGUCAUAUUUAGCCUUUGUUCGAGAUAUCAGAGCGGAGGCUCCUAGCAUUGAUUCUGUUCCACUUGUGAGGGAGUUUCCUCAUGUUUUUCCUGUAGAGCUGUCGGGCAUGCCACUAUACAUGGACAUUGAUUUCGGUAUUGAUCUGGUGUCGGGCACUCAUCCCAUCUCCAUUCCGCUCUAUCGUAUGGCGCCAGCGGAGUUGAAAGCGAAGCUUCAGGAACUCCUAAAUAAGGGGUUCAUUCAGCCUAGUGUGUCACCGUGUGGUGCACUUGUUCUAUUUAUGAAUAAAAAGGAUGGCACAAUGAGGAUGUGCAUUGAUUACAGGAAGUUGAAUAAAGUAACAGUGAAGAAUAAGUAUCCAUUGCCUCGUAUUGAUGAUUUAUUCAACCAGCUUCAGGGAGCAAGGGUGUUCUCCAGGAUUGAUCUCCAUUAGGGUUAUCACCAGUUGAAGAUCAAGGAUUCAGAUAUUCAUAAGACUGUUUUCAGGACUAGAUAUGGUCACUACGAGGUUCUUGUCAUGUCUUUUGGCCUGACCAAUGCCCCAACAACGCUCAUUCAUUUGAUGAACAGUGUAUUUCGGCCUUGUCUAGAUUAGUUUGUUAUUGUAAUCAUUGAUGAUAUUCUGGUGUACUCACGUAGUUAGGAGGAGCACGCGUAGCAUUUGCGAGUGGUAUUGUAGACAUUGAGAGGGUAGAAGUUAUAUGCAAAGUUCUCCAAGUAUGCGUUUUAGCUCAGUUCAAUGGCUUUCUUAGGGCACAUGGUGUCUAGCGAUGGUAUUCAAGUUGAUCAAAAGAAGAUAGAGGCGAUUCAGAGUUGGCCUAGACUUUUCUCAGCCACAAAGAUUUGUAGCUUCCUUGGUUUGGCGGGUUAUUAUCGCCGGGUUGUCAAGGGUUUUUCAUAUAUUGCCUCGCCCUUCACCAAGUUGACUCAGAAGGGUGCUUCGUUUGUACGGUCGGACGAGUGCAAGGAGAGAUUUUAGAAGCUCAAGACAGAUCACAACUCUAGUAUUGGUGUUACCAUAAGCCUUAGGUUCUUAUACCAUCUAUUGUGAUGCUUCGAGAGUUGGGAUUGGUUGUGUAUUGAUGCGGGAGAGUAGAGUGAUUGUAUAUGCAUCUCGUUAGUUGAUUCCCCAUGAGAAGAACUGCCAUGUUCAUGAUUUAUAGUUAGCUGCUACAGUUCAUGCUUUGAAGAUUUGGAGACACAAUUAUAUGGCAUAUCUUGUGAGGUAUUCAGUGAUCAUCGCAGUCUUCAGCAUUUGUUCAAGCAGAGAUCUGAAUUUGAGGCAGCGGAGAUGGAUGAAGUUGCUUAAGGACUAUGAUAUUACUACUUUGUACCAUCCGGGAAAGGCCAAUGAGGUGGCCGAUGCCUUGAGCCGAAAGAUAGUGAGUAUGGGAAGCUUGGCAUACAUUCCACUUAGGGAGAGGUUCUUUGCAGUUGAUGUUCAGGCUUUGGCAACCCAGUUUGUGAGAUUAGACUUUUCAGAACCCAGUCGGGUAUUGGCUUGUGUGGUUUCUCGGCCUUCCUUAUAUGAUCGCAUCAGAGAGUGCCAGUAUGAUGAUCCGCAUUUGCUUGUCCUCAAGGAUAGAAAUCAGCAUGGUGAUGCUAGGGAUGUGACCAUCGGUGUUGCUGGGGUUUUGAGAAUAGGGGGAGGAUUUUUGUGCCCAAUGUAGAUGGGUUUAGAGAGUUGAUUCUUGAGGAGGCCACAACUCGCGGUAUUCCGUUCAUCCGGGUGUCGCAAAGAUGUAUCAGGAUUUGAGGCAAUACUAUUGGUUGAAGAAAAUGAAGAAGGAUAUUGUGGGUUAUAUAUCUCUAUGUCUCAACUGUCAGCAUGUGAAAUAUGAGCAUCAGAGACCAGGGGGUGGGCCUCAGCAGAUCAUUAUUCUUUAUUGGAAGUGGGAGAGAAUUAUUAUGGAUUUUGUGAGUGGUAUUUCUCGGACCUCGAAGAAGUUUGAUUUGAUUUGGGUGAUUGUGGAUUGGCUGGCCAAGUCCGCACACUUCAUUCCGGUAUGUACUACCUAUUCUUCGGAGCGGCUGGCAGGGAUCUUUAUCCGGGUGAUCGUUCGGUUACAUGGUGUCCUAAUUCUAUUAUAUCAUAUAGAGGUAAUCAGUUCACUUCCUAGUUUUGGAGGACUUUUCAUCGAGAGUUGGGUAUGCAGGUGGAGUUGAGCACAACGUUUCAUCCUCAGACAGAUGGACAAUCCGAGUGUACUAUUCAAAUAUUGGAGGACAUGUUGCAUACCGGUGUUAUUGAUUUCAGAGGUUCUUGGGAUGAGUUCUUGCCACUUGUAGAGUUUGCCUACAACAACAGCUAUCAAUCCAGUAUUCAGAUGGCACUGUAUGAGGCCUUGUGUGGGAGACGGUGUAGAUCUCCAGUUGGUUGGUUUGAGCUCGACGAGGCUACACUAUUGGGGAUAGAGUUGGUUCAGGAUGCCUUAGAAAAUGUGAAGUUGAUUCAGGAGAGACUUCGUACAACUCAGUCACGUUAGAAGAGUUAUGCGGACCGGAAGGUUCGAGAUGUGUUUUACAUGGUAGGUUAUAAGGUCUUGCUAAAGGUAUCGCCCAUGAAGGGUGCUAUGAGGUUUAGAAAUAAAGGAAAGUUGAGUCUGCAGUUCAUUAGACAUUUUGAAGUACUCAGGAGGGUUGGAGAGGUGGCUAAUAUGCUUGCUUUUCCACCCAUCUUGUCGGACGUUUAUCCGGUAUUCAAUGUUUCUAUGCUCCGGAAGUAUGUUGGGGACCCAUCUCAUAUUUUGGACUUCAGCACAGUUUAGUUGGAUGAUGAUUUUGACCUAUCAUGUGGAGCCAGUAGCUAUUUUGGGUCAUUAAGUUCGGAAAUUGAGAUCAAAGGACAUAGCUUCGGUAAAGGUGUAGUGGAGAGGUCGGCCCGUGACGGAGGCUACCUGGGAGAUCGAGCGGGAGAUGCGGAGUAGAAAUACUCACAUGUUUCAGGCUUCAGGAAUGUUUCUUGACCCGCUCGAAGAUGAGCGUUUGUUUUUGUUGUGGAGGAUGUGACGACCCGGACCGUCGUUUCAUGUGUUACUGUCCCGUUUCCCCCAUUUUAUGCUUCUUCAUCCUUUGUUAUUGGUAUUUGGUGUGUUAGAGUUAACUCGGAUUGGUUUUGGAAGGAAAUGAGACACUUAGUCUCUUUAAGGAAGGUUGGGUUGGAAAGGUCAAUCGGUUGUCGACUUAUGAGUUAGAGAUCUCAGAUGUAAUUUCCGGUGAUUCGAUUAGCUUCGGGGGGGGGGGGGCUGAUUAUUCAUUUAGUAGCAUGAUCGGAAGUGAUUACAUUUCACUUNNNNNNNNNNNNNNNNNNNNNNNNNNNNNNNNNNNNNNNNNNNNNNNNNNNNNNNNNNNUGUUGAUAUGAGAUUAUUCAUUUAGUAGCAUGAUCGGAAGUGAUUUUUGAGGUCUGGUGUAGAAUUAAGUUUGAAUUGGCGAAGUUAGUAUUUUGGAAAUUUUCGGUAGUUAGGUGAGAUUUUUAUCUGAGGGUCGGAAUGAAAUUAUGAGUGUUGCAAUAGUUAGGUAAUUUGGGAUAUUUGUGCAAAAUUUCAGAUGAUUCGGAGGUGUUUUAGUCGGGAUUUUGAUCAAAUGUGUAUUUCGUUAGUUUUAGAAGAACUUAGGCUUGAAUCCGAUGAAAUUAGAUUGUUAUGGUGUUGUUUGUGGUGUUUUGAUGAUUGGAGAAAGUUCUAAUGAUGAAUUAGGAUGGGUUGGCACUUUUGGCUGAGGUUCCAGUGGCCUCGGGGUGAUUUCGGAUGGCCAACGGUGUGAAUUUUGGACUUGUUGUAUUUCAGAAAUUUCUGCUAUUUCCGCAUCAACGGAAAAGGGGCCGCAGAUGUGGUAAGGGAGGUCACAGAUGCAAAUUUGACCAAUUGGCGGGAAUCUCGCAGAAGAAGAUUUAUUCCGCAGAUGUGAUGUUCGCGGAAGCGGAAAAUGACCGCAAAAGCGGUCCUGUGUAAUUCUGAAGAAUCCGUAGAAGCAGAGGAAUAUCCGCAUAAGAGGUAACCGAAAAUGCGAUAUCUGAGUCGCAGAAGCGGAAAUAGUCCUAGGUAGAAGGGUUUUAAAAUAAUAUUUCAUCUGCGAGCUAAGGGUAUUUUUCACCAUUUUUGAACAACCUUGAGAGCUUUUUGACGUGGAUUAAAGAGGUUUUCGAUUGGGAUUGAUUGGAGGUGAUUCUUAUGACCUAGAAACAUCAUUUAUAUGAAGAAUCAACACUUAAAUUCAUGGAAAAUUGAUUAAAAGGGGAAAAAUUAGGGUUUUGACAUUUUGAAUGGAAAUUUGGCAUUUGAGGGAGCAUUUGAGCUCAAAUUUUGGAGUGUUUGAUAUGUGUAGAUUUGUGGCGAGAUAAGGAGUCCAUUGAUGUAUAAUUUAUUCAGUUUUGAGAAGUGGGCCUGGGGCUCGAGUUUUGCAGAUUUCAUGAAUUUCAAUAUUUUUGAGUCUUUUCGAUUGGGUUAAGUUCCCUUAGCCUAUUGUAAUGUAUUCAUUGUGGUUUUGGCUAGAUUCGAUGCACGAGGAGGUCGAUUCGAGAGGAAAGGGCAUAGUGAGCUAGACUUUUGGCCAGCUAGAGGUGAGUAAUGAUUGUAAAUGAUGCCCUGAAGGUUUGAAACACUGUAUUGCACAACAUAGUGCUAUGUUGAAAUGAGAGACACACUCAAUAACGAGCGCGGGGUCAUUUACUAUUGGGGAUUGUGACUUGGUCCAUCCCGGUUGAUACUUUGUCGAAUAUUUGCCUAUGACUUGUUGUUUUCACCAUACUUGGGCUUAUUGUCAACUAUUAGAAAUCUUUUGAACUAUCAUCACUGCUUUCUCACUAUUUGAAAUAUUACUUGAACUAAGGCUAAUUAAAUUACAUUGUUUCAUGAACUCAACAAUUUUUACUCAAAUUUGAUAUUUAAAUGAUAUUUGAACUAGUGUUUUAGCUGAGCACUAUUAUUUUAGUGAUGUCCGAGAGGCUUAUGAUUAUUUUUGGACUGAUUGAGUCUGAGGUCCAUAUGUGAGGAUAUGUUGUGUGAUAUGAGGAGGCUUUCAGGGCUCGAGUAUUAUGUGACGAGGCUUUCAUACCUCGAGUGAUAUGAAAGGAGGCUUUUAGGCCUCGAGUGUGAUGUGAGAAGGCGUUCAGGCCUUAUGUUGAUAUGAACAGGCUUUAAGGCCUUAUGUUGAUAUGAACAGGCUUUCAGGCCUUAUGAUGAGAUAGCACUUGGCCUUUAGGAGCCCCUCCUGAGUCUGCACACCCACAGUGAGCGCGGGUACGCAUGUUAUUUGAGAGUGAGCCCGGGGGGCUGAUGCUGUACUAAGUGAUUGAUACUAAGCCCGCGGGGCUAAUACUAUACUGAGAGGUUAAUAUUGAGCCCGAGGGGCAGAUUAUUGAUUAUCUCUCACGUGUUGAAAGUAUUUUUCUUUAACUAUUUUAAACGAAGAAUUAUUAAUACUUCAUUGUUUUUACUGCUUAACUGAUUUUACUGCUUGAGAUAGCGUUUCCUUGUGCAUUUAUGCCUAUGACUUGGUCCAUCCUGGUUGAUACUUUACCGCAUAUUUGCCUAUGACUUGUUGUUUUCACCAUGCUUGGGCUUAUUGUCGACUAUGGGAAAUCCAUUGCGAACUAUCAUCACUGUUUCCUCACUAUUUGAAAUAUUAUUUGAACUUAAUCCAAUUAAAUUACAAGUUUCAUGAACUCAACAAUUUUUACUCAAAUUUGAGAUUUAAGUGAUAUUUAAACUAGUAUUUGAGUUGAGCACUACUGUUUUACUGAUGUACGGGGGGCUAAUGAUUGUUUUUGGACUAGUUGAGACCGAGGGCCAUAUGUGAGGAUAUGUUGAGUGAUGUAAGAAGACUUUCAGGCCUCGAGUGUUACAUGAGGAGGCUUUCAGGACUCGAGUGAUAUGUGAGGAGGCUUUCAGGCCUCGGGUGUGAUGUGAGAAGGCUUUCAGGCUUUAUGUUGACAUGAACAUGCUUUCAGGCUUUAUAAUGAUAUAGCGUUUGGGCUGUAGCCCCUUCGGAGUCUGCACACCCACAGUGAGUGCGAGUACCCAUGUGAUUUGAGAGUGAGCCCGAGGAGCUGAUGCUGUACUGAGUGACUGUUACUGAGCCUGCAGGGCUGAUAUUGUACGGAGAGGUUGAUAUUGAGCCAGAGGGGUAGAUUAGGAAUCAUUUCUUACUUGUUGAAAGCAUUUGCCUUUAAUUGUUUUAAAAGAAGAAUUAUUGAUAAUUCACUAUUUUUACUGCUUAACUGAUUUAACUGGUUGAGAUAGCGUUUCCUUGUGAUGAGAGGUUGAUAUUGAGCCUGAGGGACAGAUUAGGAAUCAUUUCUUACUUGUUGAAAGCAUUUGCCUUUAAUUGUUUUUAAAGAAGAAUUAUAUAUAAUUCACUAUUUUUACUGUUUAACUGAUUUUACUGGUUGAGAUAGCGUUUCCUUGUGCAUUUAUGAGAUUUCAUGCUUUCAGUCAUUAUUUAUUCUUAUUACUCACAGGGUCAGAGUACUCGCAUUACUCCCUAUACCGUGUGUGCAGAUACAGACAGAGCUGAGUUUGCUUCUGAGCACUGAUUCCUUUUCAUACCAGGCGGUGACUAGGAGUGACGAGGUAGCUGUUGACGUCUGCAACCCCGAAUCUCCCUCAUCUUCCAUUACUUAUGUUAUUUCCAGACUUGUAAUAUUUUAGUAGACUCAAUAGUAGCUCAUGACUUGUGACAUCCCGAAUACGGGUUGUGUCGGGAUAGUUUUUCCGUUUUAUCACGUUUAUUCCGCACUUAUGAUAAUGUUGUUUAUAUUUUAGACUUAUUAAUGCUAUAACCAUUAAUAGAAGCGUUAUUAUUCUGUUGGUUGGUCUUGUCUUCACGAGACGCGCCAUCAUGACCGGGUGCGGGAGUUGGAUCGCGGCAGUCAAGUAUGUCCUGGCUUGUUUUAGUAGUUGCAGUAGGGUCUUCUGCUUUUACCUUUUCCUCUUUGAUAUAUUUUUUGUUUCUUUGGAUUUUUAUUUUGCUCAACUAAUACAGAUGUCUCCACUUUAUUAGUAUCAAGUAUUUUUAUUCCAAUAUGCAAUAGUCGAGCCCAAACCUAAAGUAAUGAAGGAAUUACCGAGCGUGCCAUGAUCUGGUCCUUUAUAGAUCUGAGAUCAGAUCAAAGUCCUUUUAGUGACAAAACCAUAAAGAACUUAUCUCUUUUUUGCUCCUAGGUGGUGGCACUUGCAGAAAAUAGCAUGACCGAGUCAAAUUGAUCUUUCAAAGUAUCUAUUUUUCGGAAAUAACUCAUCAUGUCUUGAUUAACAACAACAAAAACCCAGUAUAAUCCCAUUUGUCUUGAUUAUUCUGCUGAAAUUGUACUUUGUAUAUUUAUUUUAUAUCAAUCGUAUAUAAAGCUUUAGCUUUAGUCCAAACUUUUAUAGAAAUUUUACAUGACUGAAACAAGUUGAGUAAUUUAGGAUCUAAGGAGUUCCAUAAAAAAUUAUACAAUUGUGCAUCAACUCGGGGUCACUUAGUCUUUUCACUAGUAUUAAUUUUACUAGCAUUUUUGACUAAAUGAUCCUCAUAUCCCUGUCCUAUGAACCAAAUAUCAACUGAAGAAGAUCAUGGUGAGUAAUUAUUAUUACUUUGUAAUUAAUAGUAGUAAUAGUAGAACGAUUCAACAUUGGAGAGGAAAAUGGUUUAAAUUCUUCUGCCGUGGAGGACUCACCUGUCAUUUUGAUAUUUAAAUUUCAAGUAGGCAAAUGUACAAAAUAAUGCGGAAUAAAUGAUAAAAGUAAGAGCACUUUGUAAUGAAAUAAAAGAGUUAGUUGGCCAAGAAGUACUGUAAAAAUGGCUCCCACAUAUAAAGACAAGGCAAUAAAGUAUGACUUGAAAUAAAAAAAGCUUUACUUUGAAAAAACUUAUUAAAAUCAAAAUAUUACUCUUCUGCAUCAAACGAAAAAUUCUCUCUCAAGUGACCCACCAAAUCAAGACAAAAUAGAAUACUUUCUUUUCCUCUCACCAAAAUCACAAGAUCUGACUGGGAAAGGAGAUUACUAAUGGAGUGGGUAAGAGGGUAACAAGAUUUGAUCGAAAAUUAUUUCGGAGAUUUUAGAGAAUAUGAUGGGUAAGACCGGAAUAAAUGAUCGACCUCAUGUAUUUGAAAUGUAAGUCAGAUAUGGUAGAAAAAAUCUGUCGAAAAAGUGGAUGUCAAAAAAAGUAACCGGAAAAGGUGGUCGGAAAAAUCUGCCUAAGUAGUGACUACUGGACAAAGUAAUCAAAAAAAAGUAUUUGAGUCUCUAUCGAGAUCAUAGAGGCUCUGAUACCAUGUGAAUUAUGUAAGUGUAUUUCACUUCUUACUUCAGAAGAUAGAUUACACCUAGAAUAUAUACACAAAGCUAACGAUAUAAUUCUAAAGUGUAUCCCUAAGAUCAUGAUUUUUAUCCACAAUCUUUGACUAUACCAUCAGACACAAUCUAGUAUUGAAGUACUAUCUGAUAAGAUCUAAAUCUUAACAUAUAGAAACAAUGGGUAUUAUAUACAGAGAUAGGACGUAACAGAGUGACAAUGUAAGAUGAAUAAUAUAGACGCCGAUGUUCGAACAUUUUAGCUGCUCAAAUUGCAACGUGGAUAAUUCUCGUAAUAUAUAAUCAAAUUGUUUUUCAUAUUCUUCUUCGUAUUUUUUCAACAAGAGCUCUAUCUUCGUUCCCAUUUAUUCAUUGUUUUUCAUAUUCUUCUUCAGCUUUGGGUUCUUCCAAUAGUUAAUUUGGGUGGUUGGGAAGGUCUCCAGCAUGCCCUAUAUCCAAAAUCUUAAUAUAAUUUCAUGGAGUUCGUAAGAUAUUUGCUAUGAUUUUAGUUGGUUUUUACUUGCUAAUGGAAGAAGACAAAGAAACAAAGACAAGGAGGAACAAGGAGAAGACGUACUACUCAAUAACCAGCAUAUUAUGGAGCAGCUUAACUUGUUAAAGUUUGAAAUCCAGCACAAUAUAUAUAUAUAUAUAUAGAGUGUUUCGAAUUCUAACACAUUAUGAUAAAGUUUUACUUGUAAAAGCUCAAAAUUUCAGCACAUUGCACUGAAUUUAUUCUGUGUUUUAAGUAAGAGUAUUUUUUGUCCAAAUUUUAUUUCGCAUUAAAAAUAACUACAGUUUCGACUAAAUUUGAACGUGCUGUUAUUUUUAAGUAUCAGUCUAAAAAGUAGCCAACUGACUCUACUUUUACCUAGCACAAUGUGAUAUAUCACUUGUUGGGCUUUCUCACGAGUUAACCCAAGAUAAAUUGCUUAAAAUGGUGAAAAUUUCAUAGGAUCCUUACAUAAAUAGCCGCCAAUUUACUAUUUUGUUAGUUAUUGUCAGUAUACAUUGAUUAUACUUUCUCUCUCUUUCUCUCACUUCAUAUAUAUAUAAAUUCUUUGGUUAUUUUUAAUUUAAGUAAUUAAGUGAACUACUAUUUAGGUUAAUUCUUCAAAUUUUAUGGCGUAACUUAUUUAUAUGGGUAAAUUACUCUCUAUAGCAUCUAAAAUUUUUAAUAGCCCAUGUUUUGUACCACUUUCAAAAAAUGGCCUUUCGGCCCAAAAGUAUUGCAUAUAGUAGCCGAAAAGAUUGAGAAUGACAACAUAAGCGCAUGUAGCUCAGUGAAUAAAGUGCAUGUUUCCUAAGUUGAAGGUCAUAGGUUCUACCCCUGCCCGGCGCGAUAGAGCUUACCAUUUAUUUUUGCAAUGCAUAAAUAUUGUAUCCUAAGUUCGACAGUGUAUCCUUGAUGUAUAUUGAGCCUAUCUCGAGUGUGCACGCGUAUCUAAAGUGUAUAUAUUUGUGUACUCCAAAUAUUUUUUGUAUCAUGAAUGUAUAAUCUGUACGAACAAUAUAUCAAAAUUGCAUAUAAUGUGUAUUUUCUAAUAUGUAAGCGUAAUAUAUAUAAAUUAUAUACAAUUUUGUAUGUGUAAUAUGUGCAUACUUUGUACUUGGAGAGUAUCAUGUAUUUUGUAUAGCGACAGUCUUUUUUGUUUAUAUUUUGUAUAGUUACAUCUAUUGUUGUAUAUAUUUUGUAUAAUUUUUGGAUAGUGACAGUCUGUUUGUAUAUUUUUUGUAUAUUGACAGUCUAUUUUGUAUAGUAACAGUUUAUUUUGUAUAGCGACAGUCUAUUUAGUAUAUAUAUAUUGUAUAGUGACAGUCUAUUAUGUAUGUAUUUUGUAUAGUGACAUUCUAUUUGGUAUAUUUUUACAUUGAAAGCCAUUUUCGAAUAUUCCUCUUAUAUUAAGAACAAAAUAAGAAUAUAAAAAUCAGUAAAAUAGUAAGUAGAGUUUAAAUGAAAAACUGAUUAAGCCCUAGAUAUCAUAGGUAAAGACUCACAAUAAAGUGUUUAUUUUGCUGCAAAAGAAAGAAAAAGAGAGCGUUUACAAAAUGGAGAUCCAAAGUAUACUGUCUUUGAAUAAGAAAAAUAACAGAACCAGCCCUCUAAGAAGACAGAUAAAACCUUUAACAUGAUACAUGAGACAUAGUAUUAUUUAGAUAGCACAACUUGUAUUAGUAUUUUGACAUUUCAACCAAGGAUGACCACCAACAAAGGGACAAGUAUCAGAAUUUUGACCGCAACAACCAGUGAAGUGAGAAUUGCUCUUCUUCUCAGCUUCUUACUUGCUACCAAACCCUUGAGGCUGAUCUAUCAGAACAACUCAUAAGUACAUCAUUACAUCUCCUGAAACCAAAAUCCAACUGAAAAAUUUAUAUAACCAAGCCACAUGAUUCAUUUGCUCCCUAGUCCAUUUUUGCAAAUCCCAAUUUUUUUUUGGGUUAAGCUAAAGGUAAUGAAGUUUCACCCAUUCAUAUUUGGCCUAAAAGAAGAAGAAAUAUACUGUUGAAACAAAUUGUCAUUGUAUCAAAAGAAGAAGAAAAAAAUACACAGUUAGAACUUCAUUAUUUUGGAUAAAAAAAGAGGAUUUCCUGCUUGCUGAUGCCAUUUUCUAUCCAUUGUAUACAUGGAUUUGCUUGUUUCAAGCAUAACCCAGAACUUAGUUCUACAUUCACUUUCGACAAACAAAGAAAAGCAAAAGCAAAAUCCGACCUACCCGGAUGCGAACUAGUGACCUAUGGAUUAAGCAAACUCAUCUCCAGACCCCUGGUGAUUCAAAAAAUUUUUUUGUUGGAUGGAAUCGGUGAUUUGCAGUCAUGGCAUGGUCGCCUUUCUUUUUCGUGACCUGUCUUUGCACAUAUGAGCCCUGGUACCUUUUGGCUAGCCACUAAAAUUAUUUUUUUGCUAUAAAAUAUGUAAUGUAAUUUUGGGCUAUCGAAUGUUAUAGAUUUGCCCUGAGUGACUAUAUAUAAUAUUUGCUCUAUUUAUAUGCUCUCAUUUAAUCUGUAUUAACUAGUGGAAAAUUUCACAGAAAGCUACUCCUUCUCUUGUUAAGAACUUCGGCAAUACGUUAAAUGAGAGUCCUGAGAUCGACAACGUGUGCAAAUUGCACCAUUUACUAUCCAAUUACUAACUCAAUGCCCAUACAACACUACCAUUUAGAGUCUAAUUACCACGUAACUAUAAUUUGCCUGAUUGACAUUCCAUUACUAUAAAUUCGAAAAAAUUGUCUAAAAAAUAGAUCAAGUAGGUCGGUAAUGACCAAUAAUCGUCCAAAAUGUGAUCAUUAGUAUGUGGUCAAUAUUUUGAAGGUCAGAAGGGCAUACCGAUCAAAGUUGGUUGGUAAUUACCGAUAAACUUUGGGCAGUCAAUUAAAUUAAAAAAAAUAUUUGUCGGUUUUUUCGGCUAAAGUUAGUUGGUGUUUUACUUGUGUAAUUAAAAAAUACAUCAUCUGGAAAUCGAACUGGGUUCUGUACUAUGGCAUGAUACUAUUCUACCACUAGACCAUUGGUUUAUUUUGUUUUAAGACUAUCUUUUAUUUUAUUUAUACUUAUUAAUUAUAUUUUCACAAAAUAACCGAUCUUAGUUUUAUUAAAAAAUAAAAUUACCUACCGAAAUCGGCCAAUUUUUCAAAAUGACCGGCCGAAUUAGCCGACUGAUUUCGGUCAAUUUUUUAAUAUUAAUUUUAAAUAAAAAAUUGACCAAAGUUGGUCGAUUUAUUGAAAAAUAAAUUUUACAUGACUCAAAAUAAUUUUUCGCAUUUUGCGCCAAAGAAAAUCGACCAAAGUUGGUCGGUUUGGUAAAAAAAAAUUUAAAAUAAAUUAUUUUUAAAAAACCGACCGACUUUGGUUGGUUUUUUGUCCCACCAAAAUUGGUCGGUCGACCGUGAUCGAUUUUUGUCAAAUUUCUAGUAGUAUCCAUAACUACUGUUUGAUUGUUACCAGCUUGUAUCACGUGUAUUCCGACGUGUAACAAUUACAACUCGUGCCAACUGUUUCAUGCAAUGAAUACAACCUAGGUGAAUUAUAAAAAUAGAAUGCUUUCAUUGAGAGUCGAGCUCAAGACCUCCGCUUACUGAGCAGAUGGUCUAACUAACUGAGUUACGAGAACUCACUGAUCUCUUGUUUCAGUACAAAAUAAUUAAUCUCUUGUUUUAAUACCACAUGUGGAUUGGAUAUAAAAAUUAAUUAUAGCUACAAAUGGUAAUUUUCUAAAAUUGUAUCCUCGAAUGAUAAAAAUAUUAUGUUGGUUGUGUCGAGUAAAUAUUUCUUCAUGUAUAAGGAAUUUCGAACUCCAACAUUUCAUGAUGGAGUUUUAUUUGUAAAAAUUCAAAACUCCCAAUAUAUUGUGUUAGAUUUGUUAUGUAUAUUAAGAAUAUUUCCGUCCAUAAUUUUUUCCGCAUUAAAACUAAUUAUUUUUGAUAACGUUUGAAUAUUUGACUAUUUUUAACAACCAGUUGAAAAAUGGCCAACCCAUGCUAUUUCUAAAAGCAAUCUACCGCCAGCUUUUCCAAAAAAUUAAAUUUCAGACAAAAUUAAUCCUCUUGUUAAGAACUUCGACUAUGUCUUAAAUGGGAGUCUUGAGGUCGUCUAUGUGCAAAUUGCACCAUUAACUGCGUCCAAAUUCUAACUCAACUUCGACAAAACAUUUUUUUUCUACUUCAAAUUCAUUUUCAAUUUCAAAUAUUGUCCAUCUCAGUAUAGCAAUUUCCUGGCUCUUUCAAUCUCUAUGAGCUUCAUUGACUGCUUUGGAACUUUUAAGGGUGACAACGUUUAGUGGGGUUUGGAUGAUUUGCAGUUGUUGAGACAAGGGGGGUCGCCACCAUAUUUUUAUAUAAAAGUGAACACUUAUUAAAUAUCAAAUGGAAAGAAGUAAAAUCAGCGGUUUUAUAUAUGCUCCCUUAAAUUUUUAAUCGAACGUUUAAAGGUGAGGAAUUAAUUGGAAGUUUAAGUAUGUGCUAACUUGAAAUAAACGUGACCAUAUAAUUAAACAAGAACUGAAUAAUGAUGUAACUUCCAUAUGGAAGAGUGACAAUGGUUAGGCUUCCUUAGUCACAUAUUUCAUUUGGAAUUGUUUUUUGCAUUACACUCCAUAUGGACACUAAAAUAAUAACAUGAUAUGUACCACUAAACUUUAUUAUUCAGUUUUAGUUCAUUAAUGUUGUUUGACUAAAAAGUUACAUAAAUACUUUUUAGGCCUGGGACAAUCGAAAUUAAUGAAGAUUAAUAGAGGCGGCUUUUCCAUAAAGCAAGUAAAGCAAUUGCUUUAGACCCCAUAUUUGUGGGGGUCCAAUUUUUUUGUUGGACCUAAUAGAUUAUGUAAAAGUUUAAAAAAAGAAUUAAUUAUGUAAAGAGAAAAACUUUGAUUUCUUUCUUAAACAAAUAUAGAGAAGAAUGAUUUGCAACUGCUAUGAUUUAUACCAAGAACAUGGUGUUGAAAUGGAUAUCGAACCCGAAUUUCGCAAGAAAUAUGUGAUAUAUAGCAAGUAAUAAUUUUAUUCCAAUAUUGAUAAAAAAUCACAGAAUCUUUCGAAGAUUCUUUUAGAGUUGAUUACUUUUAUACAUAAUAUAAAAGACUAUUUUUUUCAUUUCAAAAUAGAUUUAAACAAUUCGAAACAUAUGAAAAUAUUUUUAGUUUUGUAUUUGACAGUAAAAACUAAGAUCACUAGAUGUUGAAAAUUUGAAAAAUAUAUUGCCUUAAUCUUGAAUGUUCCUUAAAGCAUAAUAAUCAAUUCGAUAUUGAUGGUCUAGAUUUAUUUUCUGAAUUAAAAGUAUUAAGAAAAUAUUACAAUUAGAAGAUAACAGUUUAAUUGAUACACUUAAUUAAAUAAAAAGAUAUAAUUCUUUUCCAAAUGUCUAAAUUGCUUAUGAAAUAAUGUUCAUAACUCAUGUUACCGUCGCUUCCGCAGAAAGAAGUUUUCAAAAUUAAAAUUGAUAAAAUCUUACCUAAGAACAACAAUGUCACAAGAAAGGUCAAAUGGAUUAGCUAUGCUGCCAAUUGAGAAAUAAUUAUUAGGAGUUUUUAAUUUUAAAAAAAUUAUUAAUUACUUUGUAUCUAAGAAAAACUUAAAAAAUAGACUUCAAAUAAAUAAUUUAAAAAAAUUAAAAAGUUAAGGCCCCUUGUAAAGUUUGGCUUUAGGCCACAAAAUCCGUCGGGCCGCCCCUGAAGGUUAAUCGGAAUGAAGACUAAUAUGAACUAGAGAAAACCGUUUUGUUAAGAUCUGUGAUAAUAGUGAAGAUAGCUUAAGAUGUAAGAACAAUAAAGCAAGUAAUAAUCUUUUCACAAGAGAGAGAUAGAGAGAGAGUUGUAUAUUCUUAAUAGCAAAAUACACAUGAGUCUUUAUAAAGGGAAGGUUCCCCUUUAUAUAUUAAGAGACCUUCCUCGAAAUAAUCAAAGAAAAGUACAAGGGUUGGUGGUCUCAGUCUACACAUUUACAAAGGAAAGAUCCCCUUAUAUAUUAAGGGACUUUCGUCGAAAUAAUCAAAGAAAAGUACAAGGGUUGGUAGUCUCAGUGUACGGGAGGGUCAGAGCUUUAAGAGACAUCAUCUUGAGUAAUGUCACUUGGUCCGUUCGUUUACUUGGGCCGACCUUAUUCGAGUCGGCCUCAAUUAAAUCGUUCUCUAUGUCAAAGGCGUGCAUAAAUAACAUAAGAAUAUAGGGAACCAAAUUUACCCAAUGCUUAAUUAAUUUAUUAAUUAGUCAUGAUAGAGUAGCGUAAGUUUUCUCUCCAUUCUUAGACACCAUCACUUCAAGCCAUUUUCAAACAAAGGUUAAGUUAUAGAAACUGAUAGUACAGAAUACUUUUGCACAGUUGGUGUAGUUUUAUCUACUAUAACAAGUUAGUUACCAUUUUAAUCAGUAGAAUUUAACGUGUGAUAUAUAUUAACAACAUGAAUAGUUCAUAUAUAUACUCUUUCAAUGUAUUAUACCGUGUUAUAUAUGUAGCAAGCAAUCUGACUUAUUUUUAUGCUAUAUACUAAAUCCACUUAUUAACAAGAUUAUUUUUAGCUCUCUUUUAGGAAACCUAAUAAUAUAAAAGUGCAUAAAAGUUAAACUUUGCUAACUAUUUCCCCUGUUUCAAUUUAGACAACACAAUUUACUUAUCGAGAGUCAAUUUGACUAAAUUUUGAAACUAAAUUAAAUUGUUUUAAUUUGGUAUUUUAAAUUUAAAAUUUAGAUAUACAAAAACUACACAAAAAGUAUCUAUAAGUUACAUUUUUUCUCAUAUCAAUAUGAUAACAAUUUGAUUCUUGAUAAGUGAAGCGUGUCAUCUAAAUUCAAACGGACGAAGUAACAAUUAUCAUGAAUAUUAACGUAUAAUCACCUUAUAAGUAACGUAACCAGAUAAAUGAUUUCAUUGUAUUUGUGCAUAAAUUAAAAGGUAAAUUGUUCAUACAAACCCACCUUUUCCGAAGACAACUUGCUUUGCCUACCCAAAAUUGACCGCCCCUUUUUAAUUUCAAUUUCUAGCGCUGCAUUUUGGGCCAUCAACAGAAGUACUUUUCAAAACUCAACAAAUGACAACACGUCAAAAAUAGUCGUUUAAUAAUAUUUCAAGAAGCACGCUAUGAAACUCACAUGAACUAUCACCGAAACCACCUGCGCUAUGCACCUUUCAUUCUAUUUAUACCCUCAAAGCCCACACAAUUCCAGCAAAAAAACACACACACACACACAACAUGGAAAGCAAAUGGAGAAUUUUCAGAAAUCAGCAACAAAUCAACAAAGCAAAGCCCUGUACUAUGUUAUGCAAAAAGCAUUCGAAACACCAGCAAUCGCCAGGGGUUUGCUCCCUUUGUCUAAGUGAAAAACUCUCUAAGCUUUCAAAAACUUCACGUAGCAAUACUACAACAAUUACUUCGUCUUGUUCUUCAUCCUCAUCUUUGUCUUCUUUAUCUUCCUCUUCCGAUGUUUCGUCGUGUUCUUCUCCGUCAUAUCGCAGGACGAAAACUAUAGCUAUCUUGAGAAGUGGUAAUAAGAGUAAUUGUGUGCUUACAAAGAGUAGAUCACUGGUUUUUGUUACGAGGAGGGAAGAAGGAGAAAUGGAAGAUAACGGAAAGAAGAAGAAAAGAGGGUUUCUGUCUAAAUUGCUGCAUCCAAGGAAAAACAAGAAAAAUGAGGGUUUGGUGCAUUCAAAAACUACUAGAGAAAGGUUAACAACAUGAUCAGAGUCGAAUUCAGAAUUCAAGUUUUAUGAGUUCGGGUUUAAACUAUGACAGUCAAUUUGAUUUAUUGGAAAUGAAUUCUAUUAUUUGUACUUAUUUAGUGAAUAUUUAAACAUUUAUACAUGAUCCGUUCCAUAGUAUGCUGGUUUCGAAUGAACUCGUAUCGUGUACACUACAUCCACAGUUUGAUUCAUCAGAAUUAAUGCAUCAUAUGAGAUGAUUUAAUUUAGAACCUAUUGUCUUCAUUUUAUUAAACCAUCAUAUAAUACGAUCUUUUUGUUGCCUCUCAGAUUUUUACUUUUCUUUUAACGAGAUCUGUAGUAUUAUUAUUUUGUUUAGGUAAUUUUAGACAUAUCAAGGUAAAAUGUGAAAACGUAGCUGUACACAGUCAUACAGAGGAUGAAGGGAAUAGAGACAGAAACAUACACAUUUUGGGGAAGGUCUUGUAAAAAAAAUACAUAUAUAGUCAUGUAAGCAUAUCAUGUAAUUAUCUUCAAUAAGGAUAUUGUAGUGAAUCUUAUUGCAAGCCUUCUUUCGAUAAAGAGAAUAUAUUAGCUUUCC